This 120-nucleotide ribosomal RNA is filed under the name Glossina brevipalpis. Lineage: Eukaryota; Metazoa; Arthropoda; Insecta; Diptera; Glossinidae. The record is from RNAcentral.
GCAUUCGAUUUUGCCAACGACCAUUGCAUCGGUUCUCGUCUGAUCACCGAAAUUAAGCGUCGUCGGGCGCGGUUAGUACUUAGGUGGGCAACCGUUUGGAAACACCGCAUGUUGUUGGCA